CGCCUUCAAGUCUCCAUCCUGAAUUCCUUGCAAAGCUUAUGCAAAUCUCCAAUUCCAGCUAUCUGAGUCAAUCUCUCUGUGUCUUUUUGAUGGAGAGCCUCCUCCCUUAUUAUAUAAAAACCCUCCUCCAAGUUGGCUUCAAUUAGAAUCCAAAAUAAAGUAGAAAUUGGCCUUAGAACCCCAACUAUUCAAAACUCGACC
RNAcentral lists this long non-coding RNA (201 nucleotides) under Panax ginseng (ginseng). RNAcentral's name for it is "long non-coding RNA (PGIN_LNC006978)". The record is from RNAcentral. Lineage: Eukaryota; Viridiplantae; Streptophyta; Magnoliopsida; Apiales; Araliaceae.